RNAcentral lists this ribosomal RNA (460 nucleotides) under uncultured bacterium. RNAcentral's name for it is "partial 16S ribosomal RNA". It matches the Rfam family "Bacterial small subunit ribosomal RNA", at positions 338 to 795 of the family's 1533-position model. The record is from RNAcentral.
CCUACGGGAGGCUGCAGUGAGGAAUAUUGGUCAAUGGACGAGAGUCUGAACCAGCCAAGUAGCGUGAAGGAUGACUGCCCUAUGGGUUGUAAACUUCUUUUAUAUGGGAAUAAAAUGUUCCACGUGUGGGAUUUUGUAUGUACCAUAUGAAUAAGGAUCGGCUAACUGCGUGCCAGCAGCCGCGGUAAUACGGAGGAUCCGAGCGUUAUCCGGAUUUAUUGGGUUUAAAGGGAGCGUAGAUGGAUUGUUAAGUCAGUUGUGAAAGUUUGCGGCUCAACCGUAAAAUUGCAGUUGAAACUGGCAGUCUUGAGUACAGUAGAGGUGGGCGGAAUUCGUGGUGUAGCGGUGAAAUGCUUAGAUAUCACGAAGAACUCCGAGUGCGAAGGCAGUUCACUGGACUGCAACUGACACUGAGGCUCGAAAGUGUGGGUAUCAAACAGGAUUAGAUACCCGAGUAGUC